This 465-nucleotide ribosomal RNA is filed under the name uncultured bacterium. RNAcentral's name for it is "bacterial SSU rRNA". It matches the Rfam family "Bacterial small subunit ribosomal RNA", at positions 338 to 795 of the family's 1533-position model. The record is from RNAcentral.
CCUACGGGUGGCACCAGUGGGGAAUAUUGCACAAUGGGCGCAAGCCUGAUGCAGCCAUGCCGCGUGUAUGAAGAAGGCCUUCGGGUUGUAAAGUACUUUCAGCGGGGAGGAAGGUGUUGUGGUUAAUAACCGCAGCAAUUGACGUUACCCGCAGAGGAAGCACCGGCUAACUCCAUGCCAGCAGCCGCGGUGAUGCGGAGGGUGCAAGCGUUAAUCGGAAUUACUGGGCGUAAAGCGCACGCAGGCGGUCUGUCAAGUCGGAGGUGAAAUCCCCGGGCUCAACCCGGGAACUGCAUUCGAAACUGGCAGGCUAGAGUCUUGUAGAGGGGGGUAGAAUUCCAGGUGUAGCGGUGAAAUGCGUAGAGAUCUGGAGGAAUACCGGUGGCGAAGGCGGCCCCCUGGACAAAGACUGACGCUCAGGUGCGAAAGCGUGGGGAGCAAACAGGAUUAGAUACCCUUGUAGUC